GACGAACGCUGGCGGCGUGCUUAACACAUGCAAGUCGAGCGGUAAGGCCCUUUCGGGGGUACACGAGCGGCGAACGGGUGAGUAACACGUGGGUGACCUGCCCUCAGCUCUGGGAUAAGCCUGGGAAACUGGGUCUAAUACUGGAUAUGACUCCACGGUGCAUGUCGUGGGGUGGAAAGCCUUGUGCGGCUGAGGAUGGGCCCGCGGCCUAUCAGCUUGUUGGUGGGGGUGANGGCCUACCAAGGCGACGACGGGUAGCCGGCCUGAGAGGGCGACCGGCCACACUGGGACUGAGACACGGCCCAGACUCCUACGGGAGGCAGCAGUGGGGAAUCUUGCGCAAAUGGGCGAAAAGCCUGACGCAGCGACGCCGCGUGAGGGAUGACGGCCU
This 391-nucleotide ribosomal RNA is filed under the name uncultured bacterium. Its description in RNAcentral is "bacterial SSU rRNA". It matches the Rfam family "Bacterial small subunit ribosomal RNA", at positions 28 to 417 of the family's 1533-position model. The record is from RNAcentral.